Molecule: ribosomal RNA, 484 nt
Filed under: uncultured bacterium
Lineage: Bacteria
Description: partial 16S ribosomal RNA
Rfam family: Bacterial small subunit ribosomal RNA
Source: RNAcentral
AGUGAACGCUGGCGGCAGGCCUAACACAUGCCAGUCGAGCGGCAGCGCGGGGGCAACCCUGGCGGCGAGCGGCGGACGGGUGAGGAAUUCGUCGGAAUCUGCCUUUUUGUGGGGGAUAACGUAGGGAAACUUACGCUAAUACCGCAUACGUCCUACGGGAGAAAGUGGGGGACCGCAAGGCCUCACGCAGAAAGAUGAGCCGACGACCGAUUAGCUAGUUGGUGGGGUAAAGGCCCACCAAGGCGACGAUCGGUAGCUGGUCUGAGAGGAUGAUCAGCCAAACUGGAACUGAGACACGGCACAGACUCCUACGGGAGGAAGCAGUGGGGAAUAUUGGACAAUGGGCGCAAGCCUGAUCCAGCCAUGCCGCGUGUGUGAAGAAGGCCUUCGGGUUGUAAAGCACUUUUGUCCGGAAAGAAAUCCCUGGAGCUAAUACCUUCGGGGGAUGACGGUACCGGAAGAAUAAGCACCGGCUAACUUCGUG